RNAcentral lists this long non-coding RNA (1064 nucleotides) under Homo sapiens (human). RNAcentral describes it as "HSALNT0048614". Lineage: Eukaryota; Metazoa; Chordata; Mammalia; Primates; Hominidae. The record is from RNAcentral.
UUCCUGCCAGCCACCCGCUCGUAUACCCAGGGCUCCCGUUAACCUUCCAGCCCUGACUCCUGCGGGAUGACAGCCCAAGAAGAAGAGGGCACAGGGGUUCCACCCAGCGACGAGAGGGUCUAAGCAGAGAUGAGAGGAGGGGCCCAGCCUCUGCUCCUCCUCUUGUCCUGGUGCCUUUGGCUCCAUAAAUUCCCAGAAGCAAGAUGGCGCCAUGGGCCUAAAGCUGGCAUUAAACCAAUAUGAUUUCAGGGGCAAGACCAAACUGCUGUUCCGAAUUUUAGUCUGCGAUUGGGCCAAAAUGGCAUUAUCACUUUCCUGGGCAGAGGAUCCUCAUUUCUGAGUCCCUGUCCUAGGCCGGGGCCAAGGGCUCCAGCCGCAGUGGCAGCAAAGCCAAGACUCUCCCCUAACUCAGCAUGGAGGGGAGGGAAGGAAGACCAGGGCCAGGCAGCGGGCUGGGAGUCGGGGGUGUGGGAGCCAAGACGGGGAUUGGACUAGGGCCAGGGAGGGCCCUGAAGGUAGGUGCUAAGCUGAGGUGUGUGAGGGACCCUCUGGGAGGUCUUGACCCCAUGGGAUGCGGAGUUGGGUUUUCCUAGCCCUGGCUCCUGCCUCCGUCCCCCUGGCCUACAGCCCCUGCAUGCCUUGGUCCCUGCCUGCUCCUCCCAAUGCCACCGCAUGCCACCUUUAGGCUCUUGUGGGACCUCAACUCCUCAGCUUCCUGCCCCUCUCCACCUCCAGCUCUCAGACCUUUCCCCUCCCUGUCACUGAACACACUGUGAGGCCCUUGCUUUGAGAGGGCAGGGAGGGCCUGGGACUGUUCCCACGGUGUCCUGUCGGGGCCAGGCACAAGCUCAAACUUAAAUGUGCAUAUGGGUCACUGGGCAGGGCUCGCGGGCCUGAGAGCUUGCACUCUAAGGAGCCCAGGUGCUGUCGAUGUUGCUCAGCUUCUGGUCGCAAUGCAAGGGUCCCUUCCUGAGCUCACCACACGCUGGGGUCACUCCGGGCUGUGGCUACCACUGGGCCUCGCUUCUGCCUUCUGCAAAAACCACAAACUCCCCAGGGCAGCA